RNAcentral lists this ribosomal RNA (496 nucleotides) under uncultured bacterium. Its description in RNAcentral is "partial 16S ribosomal RNA". It matches the Rfam family "Bacterial small subunit ribosomal RNA", at positions 28 to 523 of the family's 1533-position model. The record is from RNAcentral.
GAUGAACGCUGGCGGCGUGCUUAACACAUGCAAGUCGAGCGAAGCACUUUACUUAGAUUUCUUCGGGAUGAAGAGUUUUGUGACUGAGCGGCGGACGGGUGAGUAACGCGUGGGUAACCUGCCUCAUACAGGGGGAUAACAGUUAGAAAUGACUGCUAAUACCGCAUAAGACCACAGCACCGCAUGGUGCAGGGGUAAAAACUCCGGUGGUAUGAGAUGGACCCGCGUCUGAUUAGCUGGUUGGUGGGGUAACGGCCUACCAAGGCAACGAUCAGUAGCCGGCCUGAGAGGGCGACCGGCCACAUUGGGACUGAGACACGGCCCAAACUCCUACGGGAGGCAGCAGUGGGGAAUAUUGCACAAUGGGGGAAACCCUGAUGCAGCGACGCCGCGUGAAGGAAGAAGUAUUUCGGUAUGUAAACUUCUAUCAGCAGGAAGAAAAUGACGGUACCUGACUAAGAAGCCCCGGCUAACUACGUGCCAGCCGCCGCAGUAA